UCACUCACUAUUACCUGACAAAGAUCUGCUCCGGAUUGUGGACUUUGUGAACAUUUCAAUUUGAUAUUGAAAAGCCCAUUUGGUGUACAUUUUGCAUUAUAUCUUAAUCAAAUAUGCCCGAAUCACUCU
Molecule: long non-coding RNA, 129 nt
Organism: Thalassophryne amazonica
Lineage: Eukaryota; Metazoa; Chordata; Actinopteri; Batrachoidiformes; Batrachoididae
Exons: 3
Source: RefSeq, a predicted model, not a curated record